AUGGCACAUAUUUAAGUAUUUCCAAGAAAAACAAUGUAUGAGUGCAAUAUAUACUAAAAUAUAUAUGUAUUUGCACUCUUUAGAAAGAAGGCUUACAGUUGCACAAUAACUGUGAUUUCACUUUUCAACUCUGAAAAAACAAGUUUUACAAAGAUAUAUUUUGUCACUGAAUAUUCAAAACUUAAUGUCUUGAACUAGCAGCAUUAUGCUGCUUUGACUUUUAAACAUCAAUAACACUUUAUUGCCAUAGAGCGCGCGGAACUGGUGGCAAGCGGGGCAUGGAAAAAAUUUUCAAUACUUUUCUCACCGCUUCUGGAGCUCGUAGCUACAGGGGGAUCCGAGCUGGAGGAAGGGGAUGCAGGGACACUGGCAGACGCUUCCACAACAACACCGUGGCGCCGCUUCAAGUGAGAUAUCAGAUUAGUCGUACUGCCCGUGUAUUUUACAGAUGCGCGGCACAUUUUACAAAUUGCAGCUGUCUUGUCAAGUCGUCCUUCUUUCUUGUAAAAUCCAUAGUGUUCCCAAACUUUGGACUUGAAACUAAGUGGAGGAUAAAUGAUCUUGGCGUCCGACAUGUUUGUUUUGCUAAUUCGUGCUUCCUGACAACUACCUGUGGGCGCAUCACUGGCUUCAUCCGCGCAGCCCCCAUGAGUUGUAGUGUAAACAUCCGCAAGUCCGUUGCUUAGGCCUACUUUAUGUAGGUCGUUUAAAUUAUGCGCUAAAACAGGUUGACAACACUUGUUAAUAAAUAAACACAUUCUGUAUUAAAAGAAUAAGCCGUAUCUCAGAAAAACCGAUGCAUCUCGCAAAAACCGAUGCAUCUAGAUUUGCUUCAAAAGUUUCAUUCAUCCUCUGCUGCUCUACCGAUGCACUCGCAUCGUGCACGCGCACGACCGCGUAUCGAUUCAUAUCGGUUAAUCUUCCCAUCCCUAGUGGAGACACAUUUUGAUUUGUCUUAUUUAAAG
Molecule: long non-coding RNA, 965 nt
Organism: Melanotaenia boesemani (Boeseman's rainbowfish)
Lineage: Eukaryota; Metazoa; Chordata; Actinopteri; Atheriniformes; Melanotaeniidae
Exons: 4
Source: RefSeq, a predicted model, not a curated record